This 254-nucleotide ribosomal RNA is filed under the name uncultured bacterium. RNAcentral describes it as "partial 16S ribosomal RNA". It matches the Rfam family "Bacterial small subunit ribosomal RNA", at positions 524 to 776 of the family's 1533-position model. The record is from RNAcentral.
UACGUAGGGUGCGAGCGUUGUCCGGAAUUAUUGGGCGUAAAGAGCUCGUAGGCGGUGUGUCGCGUCGGCCGUGAAAACCUGCAGCUUAACUGUGGGCGUGCGGUCGAUACGGGCAUCACUGGAGUUCGGCAGGGGAGACUGGAAUUCCUGGUGUAGCGGUGAAAUGCGCAGAUAUCAGGAGGAACACCGAUGGCGAAGGCGGGUCUCUGGGCCGAUACUGACGCUGAGGAGCGAAAGCGUGGGGAGCAAACAGG